AGAGUUUGAUCCUGGCUCAGGACGAACGCUGGCGGCGUGCUUAACACAUGCAAGUCGAACGGGGAUAGUUGCGGAAGGACUUCGGUUUGGAAGCGAUUAUUCGAGUGGCGGACGGGUGAGUAACGCGUGAGCAAUCUGUCCCAGACAGGGGGAUAACACUUGGAAACAGGUGCUAAUACCGCAUGAGACCACGGCAUCGCAUGGUGCUGAGGUAAAAGGAGAAAUCCGGUUUGGGGUGAGCUCGCGUCCGAUUAGCCAGUUGGCGGGGUAACGGCCCACCAAAGCGACGAUCGGUAGCCGACCUGAGAGGGUGAUCGGCCACAUUGGAACUGAGAGACGGUCCAAACUCCUACGGGAGGCAGCAGUGGGGAAUAUUGGGCAAUGGGCGAAAGCCUGACCCAGCAACGCCGCGUGAGUGAAGAAGGCCUUCGGGUUGUAAAGCUCUGUUACAGGUGACGAAGGAAGUGACGGUAAUCUGUAAGGAAGCCCCGGCUAACUACGUGCCAGCAGCCGCGGUAAUACGUAGGGGGCGAGCGUUGUCCGGAAUGACUGGGCGUAAAGGGCGUGUAGGCGGCCGACUAAGUCUGGAGUGAAAGUCCUGCUUUCAAGGUGGGAAUUGCUUUGGAUACUGGUUGGCUUGAGUGCGGAAGAGGUAAGUGGAAUUCCCAGUGUAGCGGUGAAAUGCGUAGAGAUUGGGAGGAACACCAGUGGCGAAGGCGACUUACUGGGCCGUAACUGACGCUGAGGCGCGAAAGCGUGGGGAGCGAACAGGAUUAGAUACCCUGGUAGUCCACGCGGUAAACGAUGAAUGUUAGGUGUUGCGGGUAUCGACCCCUGCAGUGCCGGAGUAAACACAAUAAACAUUCCGCCUGGGGA
RNAcentral lists this ribosomal RNA (876 nucleotides) under uncultured Bacillota bacterium. RNAcentral describes it as "bacterial SSU rRNA". It matches the Rfam family "Bacterial small subunit ribosomal RNA", at positions 8 to 879 of the family's 1533-position model. The record is from RNAcentral. Lineage: Bacteria; Bacillati; Bacillota.